RNAcentral lists this long non-coding RNA (684 nucleotides) under Bos taurus (domestic cattle). Its description in RNAcentral is "long non-coding RNA NONBTAT011484". Lineage: Eukaryota; Metazoa; Chordata; Mammalia; Artiodactyla; Bovidae. The record is from RNAcentral.
CAUCCCACUACUACUUAGCAUAUUACUAAUGAGAAUUUAUUGCAACAUAUUAUCAUCCUUAAAUAAUAAAGUUUGAGUAGGAAUAAAAGAAACUAGAGAUACAUUUUACAGAUAUAUUUCACUAGUAGUAUAGUUAAGGAAAAAUGCUAAUUAUGAUUUUGACAUUUGGGUCCUGUAUAGCAUUUGCAGCUCAAUUUAUAUAUGCAGAGUACAAAAUUUCUUGGCUUUUUCUUUAUUAAACACUGUGUUUUCCCUCAAUAAUUUUUGGAGUUAGAAAUGAUACCCAAAUAAUUAUGUUUUUACUUAUUUCAUAUGAUUGAUGAACUGAAAAGAUAUGCAUAACUUAAACUAGUCAUUUAGAUAUAGUAAUUUUUAAAAAUACACAUUUCUGUUUCAUGUUAUGUAUAAUUUAGGAUUACAAUUAAUUUUAUUAUACAUAGCUAGAUGUUACAUUAUGCUUUGCUAUUCAAGAUUUUAAAGUACUGAUAGAUUUAUUUUAGAAUUCAAAGAGAUUGUUAAACCUUCUACUUUUGUAAGGUCAUGUUUUGAGUAAGGUCAGAAAGCUUUUACAACUAUUUGAGUGUCCUUAAUCUGAGAUUCCACAGGUUUGGUGAGGAAAUUCUGUUUGUUAGCUGCUUUUUUUUUUUCCUAAGAGUGGGUGGUUGAGUGGCUUUCUAAACGGGG